GCUCCUGUCCAUCCUGCCCCCCACAAUACGUUCUCGGUGACUAUCCCCACCUGUGAGGGGGGGUGUGUGCUUGCAUGUGUGCUGUUUGGGGUGUACAACUGCACGAAGGGGUGCUCUGCUGGGCUUAUAGUCAAGCACUGAGCUGCACAGAGGAAGGCACAUAGUCCCUUUGGGAGGAAGGCUGGGGGGCUUCCUGGAGGUGGCAGCCUGAAACUCUGCUUAUGAGGACGUGGGAUUCUGAUAGCAAUCUAGGUAGUGGGCAAAGGCACUGCCUGGACCCAAGGAUGGCUAUGAGCAGAGCCCCGAAGGCUCACAGUGGGCUGGAGCAGAGGCAAGGGUGUGGGCAGCUGGAGGGAGGCUGGGCUUGUGGCUGGGUCAGGGCUGAGGUGGGCUGCGUGUUGUGCCAGGGCCUUUGGACCCCAUCCUAUUGGCUGCAGCAUCAAUCCUGGGGCACUGUUUCUCCCUGAG
RNAcentral lists this long non-coding RNA (468 nucleotides) under Marmota monax (woodchuck). The record is from RNAcentral. Lineage: Eukaryota; Metazoa; Chordata; Mammalia; Rodentia; Sciuridae.